Molecule: ribosomal RNA, 468 nt
Filed under: uncultured bacterium
Lineage: Bacteria
Description: partial 16S ribosomal RNA
Rfam family: Bacterial small subunit ribosomal RNA
Source: RNAcentral
GACGAACGCUGGCGGCGUGCUUAACACAUGCAAGUCGAACGGAAAGGCCCUGCUUUUGUGGGGUGCUCGAGUCGCGAACGGGUGAGUAACACGUGAGUAACCUGCCCUUGAUUUUGGGAUAACUUCAGGAAACUGGGGCUAAUACCGGAUAGGAGCUCCUGCUGCAUGGUGGGGGUUGGAAAGUUUCGGCGGUUGGGGAUGGACUCGCGGCUUAUCAGCUUGUUGGUGGGGUAGUGGCUUACCAAGGCUUUGACGGGUAGCCGGCCUGAGAGGGUGACCGGCCACAUGGGGACUGAGAUACGGCCCAGACUCCUACGGGAGGCAGCAGUGGGGAAUAUUGCACAAUGGGCGGAAGCCUGAUGCAGCAACGCCGCGUGCGGGAUGACGGCCUUCGGGUUGUAAACCGCUUUCGCCUGUGACGAAGCGUGAGUGACGGUAAUGGGUAAAGAAGCACCGGCUAACUACGUG